GACACAAUCUUAUCUGAGCAUGGUCAUACUGAGAAAUCCAGAGAGAGUUGUGUGAAGCUGAUAGUUUUAAUUAGCUUCGUAGCAACUCAUUUGGCAACGGCUUGAAUGUAACGGAAAUUCAUUUUUAUCCAUGCGGCCCAAUAUAAUGCAACAUCAUUUAAUACAGUAUGUGUAGCAGGGGGUCUCUACUCCGUCUCUCUUUUAGCUAAGGGGUCCUUGGCCUAAAA
Long non-coding RNA from Etheostoma cragini (Arkansas darter), 227 nucleotides. RefSeq lists it as uncharacterized. The record is from RefSeq and is a predicted model, not a curated record. The transcript has 3 exons. NCBI's taxonomy places the organism in Eukaryota, Metazoa, Chordata, Actinopteri, Perciformes, Percidae.